This 466-nucleotide ribosomal RNA is filed under the name uncultured bacterium. Its description in RNAcentral is "partial 16S ribosomal RNA". It matches the Rfam family "Bacterial small subunit ribosomal RNA", at positions 29 to 507 of the family's 1533-position model. The record is from RNAcentral.
AUGAACGCUGGCGGCGUGCUUAACCCCUGCAAGUCGAACGGAAAGGCUCCUGCUUGCCGGGGUACUCGAGUGGCGAACGGGUGAGUAACACGUGGGUGAUCUGCCCUGCACUUCGGGAUAAGCCUGGGAAACUGGGUCUAAUACCGGAUAGGACCACAUUUUGGAUGGUGUGGUGGAAAGUUUUUCGGUGUGGGAUGAGCUCGCGGCCUAUCAGCUUGUUGGUGGGGUAAUGGCCUACCAAGGCGUCGACGGGUAGCCGGCCUGAGAGGGUGUACGGCCACAUUGGGACUGAGAUACGGCCCAGACUCCUACGGGAGGCAGCAGUGGGGAAUAUUGCACAAUGGGCGCAAGCCUGAUGCAGCGACGCCGCGUGGGGGAUGACGGCCUUCGGGUUGUAAACUCCUUUCGCUAGGGACGAAGCGUUUUUGUGACGGUACCUGGAGAAGAAGCACCGGCUAACUACGUG